GCGACGUGACCAGGAGGAGGUCCAGGCACCGGUCUUCACAGAAGUGGAUGUGGGCUCUUUGGGGAGUGGGUGGUGAACAUUGACUGUGGUGACAGUUUUAUAACUCUAUGAAUAUACUUCAGUCCAUGUGGGAGCCUGUACUUUUCACCAAUACCGUAUCCCCGUCUCUGAUAACAGAAAUAAUAGUUACAACCAAGACUGGGAGCUAUGGCUGCAAUUUAUCUUGACCACUAGCCCAGCUCUGUGCUAAGCCCGUGUCUCAGGUAUUCCUAGCACACAACUCAUGAGGUUGUAACUAUUUUUAUUUUGAGUUAUACGGGUGAGGAAACGGGAGAGGAGGUUAGUUGGGCUGCCAGAGGUGACACAACCAAGGCAGUUCUAAAGGCUAGGACUGUCCCAGCCCGAAGUCUGGGCUCUUGGUCAUCACCCAUGCACUGUGUGUGUUGCAGCCUGCCCAGCCAGGACUGAUCAUUUUGGUUCUCACCCAGGAGCCCUGUGACUCAAGCUGAGAUGGGAUGGUGUGGAUGGUGUGGAGAGGUGGCUGGCCCCUUGUGAGCUCCAAGGAUGCUUCUACAGGCCCUGUGUGAUAACCCAGCAAUUUUAUAGAAAAGGAGAGAGGAGCACACCCAGGGAAGAGGACUCCAUGUGAUGAAGGAGGCAGAGUCUGGAGGGAUGUGGCUGCAAGCCAAGGAAUGCCAAGGAUUGCUGGCCACCACCAGAAGCUGGGAAGAGGCAAGGAAGAAGGCUUCCCAGAGUCCCAGAGGGAACGCUGAAACCUUGAUUUUGGAUUUCCAGCCUCCAGAACUGUGAGACAAUAAACAUCUGCUGUCUUAAACCACACUGUGUGUGGUGUUUGGUUCUAACAGCCCUAGAAUACUGGUACACCAACUUCUGCCCUGCCCCACCAUUUCAGCCUGACCUAUAUUUUUUCCUUUAAAAAUGCUAGUACCUGCACUAAGGUUAGCAUCCAGGCCCAAAUGCCUGAGAGCCAUUCUGUCUCAAGACGCCUUGGCAUCACUCCGCUCCUGUCCAUGUUGUGUUUGUCAUGUAGGGUGCCUAUCGCUGGAAAGUCUUCAGUUGCCCAAUUGCAGGCUGGGAGUUGGGACUGUUGUCCUCAGAACUAGAACAAUUCAGUUCUCCCAGCAUUUCACUUACAUUCUCAUCAGAUCUUUCAACAGCACUGUAACAUUGCUGUCCUUCUGAGGUUAUUUUUACAGACAUUUUAGAUGAAUCUGUCAACUCCGUAGCCCAUUUCUACCCUCAGGCCAUGGGAAUCCCUCAGGAGGCCACAUGUUCCUUCACCCACAGUCUGGAAGCAGCCGAUGGGACUAGAGUUUACUUUCUCAUCACUCAGAGAGCUCAGUCCACCGGCCUUUUAUCCCAGGGUGUUUGACAUUUUACCCGAGGAAAGUGGAAG
Long non-coding RNA from Cervus elaphus (red deer), 1417 nucleotides. RefSeq lists it as uncharacterized. The record is from RefSeq and is a predicted model, not a curated record. The transcript is spliced from 3 exons. Lineage: Eukaryota; Metazoa; Chordata; Mammalia; Artiodactyla; Cervidae.